GAUGAACGCUGGCGGCGUGCCUAACACAUGCAAGUCGAGCGAUUCUCUUCGGAGAAGAGCGGCGGACGGGUGAGUAACGCGUGGGUAACCUGCCCUGUACACACGGAUAACAUACCGAAAGGUAUGCUAAUACGGGAUAACAUAAGAAAUUCGCAUGUUUUUCUUAUCAAAGCUCCGGCGGUACAGGAUGGACCCGCGUCUGAUUAGCUAGUUGGUGAGGUAAUGGCUCACCAAGGCGACGAUCAGUAGCCGACCUGAGAGGGUGAUCGGCCACAUUGGAACUGAGACACGGUCCAAACUCCUACGGGGGGCAGCAGUGGGGAAUAUUGCACAAUGGGCGAAAGCCUGAUGCAGCAGCGCCGCGUGAGCGAUGAAGGCCUUCGGGUCGUAAAGCUCUGUCCUCAAGGAAGAUAAUGACGGUACUUGAGGAGGAAGCCCCGGCUAACUACGUGCCAGCCGCCGCCGUAA
This 468-nucleotide ribosomal RNA is filed under the name uncultured bacterium. RNAcentral's name for it is "partial 16S ribosomal RNA". It matches the Rfam family "Bacterial small subunit ribosomal RNA", at positions 28 to 523 of the family's 1533-position model. The record is from RNAcentral.